AUAUUUUGAGGGACAAAUUUUUUUCGUGGACAUCUAGAAGAUUCUCUUGUUAUCUUGUUUGGACAACCACUCCACAAUUGCAUGACAUUCUCAGUCAAUAAACUGCAGAAUGAAAACGACGAUAAUGGGGAUUAUCGCAUAAUUGUCAUGUCUAAGUCAUUGCAAAUGAGGAAAAGAAUCCAAGACAAACAGGGAACAAAAGCUCACGGAGAUGACAAUUGACAAAUUGAAAAUCUUUUAAUGAACUCACGGAGAUAAAUACCUACCUUUUAAAUUCCAUAUUCAACACUUAUUCCGUCAAGUGGAAUUAUUCCCAGGAGGAUUGAGAGAUCACAAGCAACUGGCUAACAAUGAACAUAGGAACACAUUUUAUACGCUGCAGCACUAGUGAUGUCCGAUUAGUGCGAUUCCGGCGGUUGCUCUCAUCGAUAAAAAGACAGAUCUACCAGACUAAAUAAAAGCUGCAACACUAGCAAAUUCCGAAAUUAUAUACCUAUAUUCUGAUUCUUUCUUAUCGAUUCUCCAUGACCUGUCAUUGAGAAAAUAAGGAAACCAUUUAGGAGUGGGGUUUCUAGAUUUUUUUUUCUAUCGCUAAAAUCCAUCGAAAUCAAAGGAUUCACGUGUCACAUUGAACAUCUUCACGAUUCGAUUGCUUAUCUCCAGCUACUCAUCAGGUGGCAUAAAAUUAUCGCGUAAUUUUUCGCGAACCUGAUAUAUUGAUUAGAUGAAUAGAUGAUUCUUCUCGAUUAAACAGACUGUAACGUUGUCACCAGGAAAAAUACGAUCUCAUUUAUUGAAAUAGAUUAAGGGUAAAAACAAGAUCUUGAACGAUCAGAAAAAUUUAUCACGGUAAAUGAGCAUUGACAUUAUUGGUAGCAACAACGCUGUUUAGCAACACUGACCAGCCAUUUCUCGAAAUUACUGGGGCACCAUGAGAUCGGGAUUAAUCAGUAAAUAAUACCACAAAGAAUACGGCAACUUCCGUCAAACGUAAAAAUACAAUUGAGUAAAUAUUUUCGGUAUUUAUCGGCUCUUCUCGGAAAUUUCUUCUGAGCCAAUCAUUUUUCACAAAUAUCGAUGCAUCUAAAAUAUCUAAUGACACAGCAGAAAGUUAUCUACCUAUUAGGAAUACGGCGACGCUGGCUCAUCAUAGCAAACAAAGUGUUUCGUUAAGAGUUUAAGCACAUAUCGACGAGGGAGAUUCUGUCCCACGAAUGGUUUCUACACAAACGACCGAUCACGACUGACAGUUAUCGACUAACUAUGAAUCCCCUAUCUCCGGAGUGUCUACAAAUAUAAUGACACAAAUAGAAAAAUAUCCAAAUUAUCACUUUAAUUAAAUUCUCGACUGCAAAUACAAUUGGAUUUAAUUGAUGUACAUCACAAAAUUGAUUGACCUGUUGAAAAGGAUAAUAUUGCAAUUAUCAUACAAAGCGAGAGGUUCUUACAACUGUUAAAUAGAUCGAGCAGCAACUCCGAGAGUCCAAAAAAAAUUGAUAACAAAA
This is a long non-coding RNA of Diachasmimorpha longicaudata, 1505 nucleotides long. RefSeq lists it as uncharacterized. The transcript is spliced from 2 exons. Lineage: Eukaryota; Metazoa; Arthropoda; Insecta; Hymenoptera; Braconidae. The record is from RefSeq and is a predicted model, not a curated record.